GAUUUUUCCAGCAUUGUCUUUUCCUGCCCUUCUUUCCUUUUGUCCUGCCAUGAAAGUGUUUCUGUGACUCAUGGUCACAAGGUGACAUCACUGCCCAUCCCUACUUGGCUUGAAUGGAUGGCCCUUAGGAUUCACAACUUGAAGCGUAAUUACCGUUUUCCUCCCCAGUGCCUCCUGUGCAUGAGUAAAUUAUUUUGGAAGGGUUAAUCUUGGGAGGCAGGAUCAAGUUGUGUUCUAGAAUGUUUGAGAAAUCUGAGUUUGAUUAAUCUAAAAAAUAUAGGAGUUAGGGAGGGCUAUGAUGAUUCUCGUAUUUGAAGAGGAAGGAGAAAUUUGUCUUUAUUUUUUAUUUCUUUGAAACAGAGUCUCUCUCUAUUGCCUUCAAACUCCUCAGCUCAAGCAGUCGUCCCACC
This 410-nucleotide long non-coding RNA is filed under the name Pan troglodytes (chimpanzee). Its description in RNAcentral is "long non-coding RNA NONPTRT012527". The record is from RNAcentral. Lineage: Eukaryota; Metazoa; Chordata; Mammalia; Primates; Hominidae.